Long non-coding RNA from Malaclemys terrapin pileata, 3903 nucleotides. RefSeq lists it as uncharacterized. NCBI's taxonomy places the organism in Eukaryota, Metazoa, Chordata, Testudines, Emydidae. The transcript has 2 exons. The record is from RefSeq and is a predicted model, not a curated record.
AAGAGCUUGGGAGACUUGGCCUGGCAGGCGACCUGCACUCUGCACACCUGGCUAGCCAUAAGACACCCAGUUUGUGGAGGAAAGACCUAUGAUGUCUGCUGAGACCAGCCAUAGUCCUGGGGGAACAAUCUCUCCAUCAUUCAGCAGACAAUGUUGGAGUGCCUGCUGUUUGGCACAGGGUUGUAUUAGGUUACUAGAGAGUCUUAUUCAAUAGGGUUGAAAAAUGGGCAAUUUGCAAAAACUUUAUUACUCUCAAAACAGAGAAUGACUUGGUGAAAUUUAAUAUGGCUCAGAGAGACUGAAAGCAGCUACAGUGGAGCAGGCUCUCAUGAUUAUGGCUGAGGUGAAGACUGAGUGGCCUUCAAUGGAGAAAGAGACAAGAGCAUGGCAAGGACAGAAAGGACAAGAUGCCCAUGUCAGCCUGCACUGGAUGCACCCAGGGAUGUUCCCCCCUCCUUUUGCUGAGGUGGCCUGAGGAAGGUGAGAUUUUUCAACAGCACGUCAACUCAUGUUGAAUGCAUUGAGUGAGCAGUUGGCAUUCCUACCCUGCUCUGUAUCCACUCCACAUGUCAACUGUUCCUUCUUCUGGGCUGUAACAGGGUCAGCACCCACCUCUCAUGCAUGCCCCUCUUUUCUCUGUCCAAUAGUGCCAGCAAACAGUUCUUUUCACUGGGGCAUCACCCACCUCUCGUGGAUGGCCCCCUUUCUCUGAAAUAUGAGCCUGCUUUUGUUUUUUGGUCUUACAUCAGGGUGGAACCUGCCUCCCGCAAGCACCCCCUGACUGGUGGUCCUCUCGGCUGGUCUUUGGCAGGUCAGCCCUCCGGCUGAGCCGCACAUGCUGUCCCCCCUUCCAGAGUAUACAGUCAAAGCUCUUUUUCAGCCCUUGUAUGGGGUCAUAGUUCUAAGGCUUCUUCCCUGAGGCACUGCCUUCUUCAAACAUCCAGCCAGGGCCCAUCUCAGUACCCUCAGCUGGUGUCCUUUUCAGCAGCCCUCCCUAGGCUCAGUCUGCCACCAGACCAGCAGGCCCUAUCUUGGUACUCUCGCCUGGUCUGGCAGAUCCUGGGCUCAGCCUGCCCAAAUUGACCUUUUCAUGGUCCUGCUGCUACUCUAUCCAGACAGCUAGGCACAUGGUCUUUGGCGACCUCCGCUGGGCUCAGUUCUAUCUGGUGAACUCUCUGCAGUGAGCUAUCCGCAGUCCUGCUGUUCGUCUGGCCAGCCAGACACCCAGUCCUCCCUCAUUAAGCUUCACACAGCAACUGCACUUCUCUGCUCUGCUGCUUGUCUUAUAUAGGGCCCUUCUGGUCCCUCAUUGGUCACUCCAGCAGCCCCUCUGAUUGGCCACUCUUCUGUAGCUACUCUAGGCUGCCUGAAGGACUUCUCGCUGCUCUAUUCUGGGGCAGGGUGAUGGAGAAUCACAAAGUCUCCAGCAAGGGGCCUCCAGACCUAGUCCACCCUGCCACAUGGGGCUUGACUUUUAUGGUAACUCUGGGAAGAGUAAUGGAACAGAAACCCAGCUCAAGCUCUCUCCCUAAACCUAGAUCCCCAAGCUUGGCUGUCUCCAGUUUCCUGAAGGACCUCCCUGUCUCUGAUCCUUGUUCCAUCUGAUCCAGGGGUCAUACGCACCUCUCCUGGUGCCGGGGGAGUAGAAAAGCUGCACCUGCCACAGGAACUAAGCAUUUGUACUCACAGUUCCAACUCCUGCGAACAGGGUUGGUCAGCAGAUGAGCCAGGCUUCCCUGUGUGGGGCUGUGGGUCCUGCUUCCCUGUCACACCAUAUAAGAGAAAUAUUCUAGAACUUAACAUGUGGUGUAGAGUGUGCAAGGGGACUGGAUGAGAAGGGCUGUGCUGGUAACCGUGUGUGUGUGUGUUGUGGUGCUCCACCCUGUGGAAGGCUCCUGGCUGGUCACCUUGGAGCAAUGUGCACUGACAUUAAUUGCUGAUAAUUCACCAAGGACACAAGAUAAUGAGCAGGAAAAUAACAGAGAUUCACGCCUCUGUGCAGUAGGGCCUCCUGCUGUGAGCCUGAGCUGCCCCAUCUCCACAGCCCUUUGCCUGCUCUGACCAGGGCCAUGCUGCCACUGCAUGCGCUGUUGGUACUCCACGGAUAAUAAAUAGCCUGGAUAAACAGCAUCCCUCACUGGCCGGCUGCAGGGGCAGCUGGAACCCCAUUGCAUGGCAUCCUCAGGGCUCCAGCAAAACCUGAACUGCACUCUCACCAGACAGACAGCAGGAUCAACCCAUCCACCUCAUCAGGGAACCCUAGCCGCAGAGUUCUUCCUGGGAUCCUGCAGCCACCUGAUUCUGCUGUUAUCAUGGCCCUGGCAUUGGGGAAUGGUGGAGGCAGUUUUUCACUUAAAUUAAAGCCCAGCAGCAUCCCAGACACCUGGCAUUUCCUGAGGGUCGGGGUAUGUCUGUUCGUCUUAUGUGCAAUGGGAAAAAUGAAUGUGUGAAAACGGGGCACGUUGUUUAGUCCACUAAAAGCAAUGCAGGGUGCUGGAGUCUUGACCUGUGUUAGACUGAACUGUUCCUUAAUCCACCCUCCCAAUCACUGUGGAGUCCUGAUUGUCAAUCCCAAAGUGGUUGGUGUUACAAACAGCAGCAUGUGCAUGGGAUAAUUUAAUUUGCAUGCAUUUUUCCAGGUCAGCCCAGAGCAGCUUGGAAAUGUGCUCACUUAAGAGGCAAAUGUAGCACAGCUGGCUAUAAAUUACAGUAAUAUAUUGUGGGAGACCUAGCAAUGAGGUGCAUGUUGUUGAAGAGUGUCAUAGAUAGUAACCUAUUAAGCAAACUAUAAUUAUAAAUGUACCAUUGAAGACUUCACCAUUAUAAUUAACUCUGGCUCAGAACGUUAUCUCCAAGCAGAGUCAUGGUGAUUGAUUACGUUGGUUAGUGUCUAGGCUGUGAGAGGCAGGGUAACUGUUGAAAUAGAGAAGGAAGUAGAUUUUUUGUACUUGUCUCUAACGCUAAAAGAAUCUACCAGUUUGGCAAGCUCCUGGGUAGGACAGUUCUCCCGCAGGUCUGUGCCAGCUGCCAUCCCCAAAACGUCCAGAUAAUGACAUUCAGUAAGAAAAACUGGGGUCUUUACAAUAUCCUGGGAGAUGCGUUAUUGUCCAUGUGCUCAAAUAGUUCAAACACUGCUUUGUUAUAAAUGUGAGAUGAGAGCAGUUCGCUCAGACAACAGUUUGGAAUUUAAAGCCAUACACUCUGAUACACCCAAAUUUCAGAGCAUUCCCAGCAAAUUUUAAAAGCUUCUUGACUAACUGAGAAAGCAGAGUGCUAGAGAUCAGAAUGCAGGAUUGGGUGCCAGAUGCUCUCAGCUUUCAAUUCCACCUUUGCCAUUGAGUCCUUGAUUGUUGUGGGCGAGUCACUUAGGGUGGCGUUUUCAAACGUGGGAGCCUUACUAUACAACUGACCUGAUUUUCAAAGAUGCUGAGGCUUUACUCACAGCUCCCACUGGUUUCAGUGGGAGUUGCACAUGCUGAGCCCAACCAGCUCAGAACCACUGGGCAAGAAGGAAGCUCACAGGAGCCUAACCCAGCUCACUGCGGAGCUGACAUUAAUGCAGUAUGAGCAAAUGAUAAAUGCUCUAUUCGCUGAGUAUGGUGCCCUGAUGUAUUAAACAUGCAGAGAAGAAGGGAAGCAGCGUUUCAGGGGGACAGAGCAAACCCGGACUCCGGAGAGAAGGUGGAAUAUUGACCCUGUUAGAUUGUGGCUUAGGAAUUAUGGUGAAGAUCAGGGGUCAGCAACCUUUCAGAAGUGGUGUGCCGAGUCUUCAUUUAUUCACUCUAAUUUAAGGUUUCGCUUGCCAGUAAUACAUUUUAAUGUUUUUAGAAGGUCUCUUUCUAUAAGUCUAUAAUAUAUAACUAAACUAUAGUUGUAUGUAAAAUAAAUAAGGUUUUUAAAAUG